Molecule: ribosomal RNA, 460 nt
Filed under: uncultured bacterium
Lineage: Bacteria
Description: partial 16S ribosomal RNA
Rfam family: Bacterial small subunit ribosomal RNA
Source: RNAcentral
CCUACGUGAGGCUGCAGUGAGGCAUAUUGGUCAAUGGCCGGAAGGCUGAACCAGCCAUGCCGCGUGAAGGUCAGUGCCCUAUGGGCGUUAAACUUCUUUUGUGCGGGCGCAAUAAUGGUCACGUGUGGCCAGACGAGAGUACCGUACGAAUAAGCAUCGGCUAACUCCGUGCCAGCAGCCGCGGUAAUCCGGGGGAUGCAAGCGUUAUCCGGAUUUAUUGGGUUUAAAGGGUGCGUAGGCUGUGAGGUCAGUCAGCGGUGAAAUGCCCCCGCUCAACGGGGUGAAGUGCCAUUGAUACUGCCUUGCUGGAAUGCGGAUGCCGUGGGAGGAAUGUGUGGUGUAGCGGUGAAAUGCAUAGAUAUCACACAGAACACCGAUUGCGAAGGCAUCUCACGAAUCCGCGAUUGACGCUGAUGCACGAAAGCGUGGGUAUCAAACAGGAUUAGAUACCCUUGUAGUC